This 410-nucleotide long non-coding RNA is filed under the name Ananas comosus (pineapple). Its description in RNAcentral is "long non-coding RNA (ACOM_LNC032544)". Lineage: Eukaryota; Viridiplantae; Streptophyta; Magnoliopsida; Poales; Bromeliaceae. The record is from RNAcentral.
CUAUAUAGUUUCCAACUAUCUUGCUAUUUUUUUUUACUUAAUUAGCUUAAUUUUGUAGCUCUUUAUUCUUUUAUUCUUAAGAAAUAUGAGUAUUUAUGCUAAGAGCAAAAAUUUUGAGAGAAAAAAAACUUAAUUUAAUAGCCGAAUUUUUGAUCCCGAAUUUUUGAUUGGCGAACGUAUAAUAUCCGUAUAAAUCACGUAUCCGAAUAAUUGGCGAAUCCGUUUUUUAGCCGUAUUUUUCAAUAAAUUUAAAAAUUAGAAGACGAAUUUUAUCCGAAUUAUACCCGUACCGAAUUUUUGCCGAAUCCGAAUUUACUAACUAUCGUCCCAACAUGGCAAUAAGUAAGUAUCAUGACCCGUUCUAUCAAUAUAUGAUGAUUAUGCUCUAUCAUGACAACCAAGUAUAUUAU